UACGGAGGGUGCAAGCGUUAAUCGGAAUUACUGGGCGCAAAGCGCGCGUAGGUGGCCAAUUAAGUCAAAUGUGAAAUCCCCGAGCUUAACUUGGGAAUUGCAUUCGAUACUGGUUGGCUAGAGUAUGGGAGAGGAUGGUAGAAUUCCAGGUGUAGCGGUGAAAUGCGUAGAGAUCUGGAGGAAUACCGAUGGCGAAGGCAGCCAUCUGGCCUAAUACUGACACUGAGGUACGAAAGCAUGGGGAGCAAACAGG
Molecule: ribosomal RNA, 253 nt
Filed under: uncultured bacterium
Lineage: Bacteria
Description: partial 16S ribosomal RNA
Rfam family: Bacterial small subunit ribosomal RNA
Source: RNAcentral